AUGGAGGAGGAGAAGGAGGUGAUGGAGGAGGAGAAGGAGAUAGAACAUCCUCUGCCAUGCCUCAGUGAAUCUGACACACAAGGCAUUAUCAAGGGCAGAGAUCUAUUCGGAUAUGUCGGCAUUGAGGCAGUGUUGGACCAGAUGAGACGCAAAACCAUGAAGGCUGGCUUUGAAUUUAAUAUCAUGGUGGUUGGUAAUUUUUUUAAGCAGGAUAUGUCCAGUUUGUAUUUGAACAGGAAAAAAUAUCAAGAGCAGAUCUCGAAAACUGUCCACCUGCAAUCAGUCAGCCACAUCAUUGAGGAGAAAGGGGUGAAGAUGAAGCUUACAGUAACUGACACCCCUGGAUUUGGAGACCAAAUCAACAAUGAGAACUGCUGGGAGCCCAUUGUACAAUAUGUCAAUGAACAGUAUGAAAAAUACCUGAAGGAGGAGCUGAAUGUCAACAGGAAGAAAAUAAUCCCUGACAGCCGCGUUCACGGUUGUGUCUACUUCCUGCCAGCCACUGGACACUGGUUACGGCCUAUAGAUGUAGAGUUUAUGAGGAGACUGGGGAAGAUAGUGAGCAUUGUCCCUGUGAUCGCCAAGGCAGACACACUUACUCUGGAGGAGCGGCUAGAGUUCAAACAGAGGAUAAGACAGGACCUGCAGGCCAACGGGAUCAGAGUGUAUCCACAGAAAGAAUAUGACGAGGACGCUGAAGACCGGAUACUCAAUGAUAAGAUUAGGGAAAACAUCCCCUUUGCUGUGGUGGGAACAGAUAAGGAGCACCAGGUGAAUGGGAACAAAGUCUUGGGAAGAAAAACUAAGUGGGGGAUCAUCGAAGUCGAAAAUGUUGCGCAUUGCGAGUUUGCACACUUGAGAGAUCUUCUUAUCAGGUCCCACCUGCAAGAUUUGAAGGACGUCACUCACAACAUUCACUAUGAGACCUACAGGGUGAAAAGACUUAACGAGAGCAAUGCCAAUGGACUGGCGCUCUCACCUUUGACCCUGGAGAACGGUACCCUAGAGAAGAGCGAUGCAGAGAGUCACCUUUGAAAGGGAAGGAGCGUGUGCCCAUCCUUCACCCCGUCAGAAUGGGAGAGAUGAACAUUUCACUUCUAGAUUGCCACCGAUGGAAAAUCGACCCGUUUGACUAAAGACAUUUCCACUUAGGCAUGUAAACGUCAUAUAUGAGUCUAUUUUUGAAAUGAAUCUAUAUUGUGGGUAGGGAUCUGGGAUGGAUUAUGGGUAGAAUUGAACCAGGUUUUGGCUAAGAAAAAGUUUCCCUCUAUUUUUCUCUCUCUUGAUAUCUUUGAUCUGUUUUCUGCCAAAUGAAUGGCACAGAGGGUUGGCAUGUUGGAAAAUGUGUGUGUGUGUUCCUGCACGCCUGACACCUCACUGGAUGAGAAAAUCCCAUAAUCCCUAUUUACACUGAACCAGCAAUGUGACAUGCUUCUUUUGAUCUUUUAUUUUCAUAAGUAAUUAUUUUAGUUUUUUUUUUUUUUACAGCAAAAUAUGAUCUUUCCCUGUACUUUUGUAAAAGAAGAGAUUAAAAAAAAAAGUUUAGACAAAUAUUUUUGUUACCAUAGCUGCUUUGAAGCUCAAGGUAUUUUCUUAGAGUUUCUUACUGCUAUCCAUAAAUGGCUGCUGUGAUGAUAGCAAAUAUGUUGAUAUAACGGGAAAUAUUUCAAAUAUAACCUCUGACCUUAAAGGUCUGGAAUGAAAUGUAAUACUAUUGAUCAUUUCUAAUGCAGAGAUGGAUAAAGGAACAAGAGAAAGUCGAUUCUUACUGAUGUUUGCCGAACAGUAACAGGUCAAGUUUACAGUUAUAUGUAGGGAUGUUUUUCUUUCACUAACCUAGUCAACUUGCCGUUUAAAGGUACACAUUGUGCUGUUUACUUCUCUCCACUGGACGUCAAGAGUCCAUCUUGCCCUGUAGCUUAUCAAAGCUAUUGUACAUAACCAUAAUGUGUUCUUAUUUUCUAUCACAGCAUCACAUUUUUUACUCAACAUGUAUUAGCGGCAUCAUCAUGAUGUCCUUGUUACUAAUAUUACU
This is a long non-coding RNA of Sinocyclocheilus anshuiensis, 2035 nucleotides long. NCBI's taxonomy places the organism in Eukaryota, Metazoa, Chordata, Actinopteri, Cypriniformes, Cyprinidae. The record is from Ensembl.